UAAAUUUCUAAUUUUACUUUCAAUAGCAGAAUGCCUCUGAAACUCUUCAGUUUACAAACUUAGUUGGGUAAAGUCAAUAACAUUUACAAGGGACAGAGAAGACGCUCUCUGAUGGUGACAGGUAACAAGGAAGAUCCCCGGGCUUGCCCUCAGAGCAUGCCACAGCUCCCUGAUGCGGCUCAUGUGCCCGCCAUCUGCUCAGGUGGCUGUGGAUGCUGUCCACCGCGUCUGAGACCUCCCUUUGGGGCCAGACUCCUCCUGAGGGGGGUGCUUUACCUCAGGGGCACCAUGAAUCUUUCAAUUUUGCCAUGUAAGGUUCCUGCUCCCGCUUAGCCUUCUGCCAUGAGUGAAAGCUCCUUGAAGCCUCUCCAGAAGCUAAGCUGAUAUCGGUGCCAUGCUUCCUGUAAAGCCUGCAGAAACAGUCUCCUAGGAAAUAGACCGCAUAUUGGCCUUAAGGAGGUAUGUCAAC
RNAcentral lists this long non-coding RNA (469 nucleotides) under Homo sapiens (human). RNAcentral describes it as "non-protein coding MTUS2-AS2:6". The record is from RNAcentral. Lineage: Eukaryota; Metazoa; Chordata; Mammalia; Primates; Hominidae.